GCAAACUUGGUCAUUUAGAGGAAGUAAAAGUCGUAACAAGGUUUCCGUAGGUGAACCUGCGGAAGGAUCAUUAUUGAACAAAAAUUAAGCAGGGCUGCUGCUGGCUUGGAGGAGCAUGUGCACGUCUUGUUUUAUUUUAAAUCCUCCUGUGCACUAGUGGUAGAUUCUUAAGGCAAUAAGCAAUUUCAAAGGGCUCUAGAGACACCUUUGGUGAGAAGAAAUUAGCAGCGCUAAAAAGGUGCAGCUUUUCUUUGCAAAAGUUGCCUGGGAGAGCUCUACUGUAUCAAGUUACCAUGUCAUAUGAAUGUUCAGAAGGUUGAACAAAAAUUAGACUUUGUGUCUUUUUUAUAAUUGCAUACAACUUUCAACAACGGAUCUCUUGGCUCUCGCAUCGAUGAAGAACGCAGC
RNAcentral lists this unclassified non-coding RNA (408 nucleotides) under uncultured fungus. Its description in RNAcentral is "partial contains small subunit ribosomal RNA, internal transcribed spacer 1, and 5.8S ribosomal RNA". The stretch from base 1 to 73 matches the Rfam family "Eukaryotic small subunit ribosomal RNA", at positions 1759 to 1831 of the family's 1831-position model. Lineage: Eukaryota; Fungi. The record is from RNAcentral.